CUUAUUAUAAAAUAAGUAAUAAUUUACCUAGUCAUUAGCCAGUAUUAUAGCUAGCUGCAGGCUUGUAUCUGAGCGUAAUUCUUAUCACAACUGGAACGUCUGGAGCCUCCAAUACUAUGUGGAUUUAUUUUUAUGGAGGCAUGUUUGGAACCAGAUUAGAACGUUCACAAACCAGUUUCCCUUUUUUUUGUUUGCGUUCAUAUCAUUUGCGGUUAUCAAACACUCGCAUUUUUAAAACAGAUUCCCACCAAGUUGAACUUAUCGUAUUUUCUUAAUUUUUUUUGUGAACAUGUUUAACCGAUGAAUGAAAAUCAUGUCUCUUUUAUCGUGCUUUGGCCGGAAAAGCUCUAACCACCAAUAUGAAGAUUAUGUUGAUUUUAUAGAUAUGAACAACUCGGAUCUAGUUGAUGUACCAUUACAUAUAUUUCUAUAUGAAAGGACCCUGGAAAAAUUAUUAUUAUCUUCCAAUCAUAUUAAAGAUUUACCUUCACCUUUAUUCCAUUGCGGUCAGCUAAAAGUACUACAUAUAAGUGACAAUAGAUUAGAACAUCUUCCAAAAGCAAUUGGAUCUUUGGUUAAUCUUGUUGAGCUAGAUGUGAGCAGAAACUAUUUAUCAACAAUUGAUGAAAACAUUAAGAAUUGUAAAAGACUUUCUAUUUUAAACUUAAGUGCUAACCCUAUUUCAAUAUUCCCAAUACCUUUGACGCAAGUAUUGUCUUUAGAAGAACUCUGUUUAAAUGACACACAAUUAGAAUUUAUACCAGCAAACAUUGGUAGACUUAUCAAUCUAAGAGUAUUAGAAUUAAGGGAUAAUAAAAUAUCUCAAAUACCCAAAGCAGUUUCACGUUUGAUGCAAUUAUAUAGACUUGACAUCGGACAAAAUGACUUCAUUGAUUUUCCUACUGCAAUAAGUGAUCUUUAUGGAUUACAUGAGCUGUGGAUUGACUCCAAUGAUAUUGUUGACAUUCCUUCAGAUGUUAGCAAUCUACAUGAACUAUGGUAUUUUGAUGCUAGUUAUAAUAGAAUUUCAAAAAUUGAUCAAGAUAUUCAAUAUUGCUCAAAAUUAAAAGAUCUACAUUUAUCAUUUAACAAUUUAAAGAGUUUACCGAAUUCAAUGAAACACUUACAUGAUUUAGUCACAUUGAAGGUGGAUCAUAAUUGUCUGAAACAAAUGAAUAGUAUUUUUGAAGGUCUUCAGUGCCUAGAAGAACUUGAUGCUUCUUACAAUUGUUUAGAAACUUUAUCACCUACUGUUGGUUUAAUGAGAAGAUUAAAUACCUUACGUUUGGAUGCCAAUCGAUUAACCAGCUUACCAACUGAAAUUUGUAGCUGUAGAAGCUUAAGAGAACUCAGCCUACGAUCUAAUAAUUUAUCAAGUAUGCCCGAUGGCAUUGGAAGCUUACAAAAUUUAGUUGUUUUAAUGUUGACACAAAACAAGAUAACAAAUCUUCCCCUUUCAGUUCUUAAGUUAAAAAAUCUAAAUGCACUUUGGCUUUCCGAAAAUCAAAGCAAACCACUGACACCUUUACAAAAUGAUUAUGAACAUGAGACUGGAAAACAUAUUUUAACUUGUUAUUUAUUACCACAAAGAGAAGAGAGUUAUAUAGAAAUUAAAGAUCAAAAUCAUAAACCUCUUAAAACAAAUACAAGAAUCAGGUUUACUGAGGAUUCUGGUUUAGAAGAACCAGGAAAUUUAAUGAGAGUUCCUACACCACAUCCAAAAAAAAUGAGAGCAUUUGCAAAAAUGUUAUUGGAAAGGAAAAAAAAAAAAUAAUGAAUUAUCAAGUGAAUUUGACACACAACUUCCUACUGAAAUUGAUAAUUGCUCAAUAAUAGAUCAUGAAGCGGAAAAAAUGGAACAACUUUAUCAAAUGAAAAAUUGUGUGAUUGAGCCAGAAAAAAUAUAUGAACCAAAAAUGAACACACAAAGAGUUCCGCCUCCAUACCAUAUUGCAGCGGCAUACUCAAAACAAGUAACAUUUUUUAAUAAUGAAAAUCUUAGCUGAAAUAAAGGUAGGUGAUCAAAUAAAUGAAAAUAUUUGAGAUAUAUACAUAAUAAUUUUCACAUUAUUAUAUGAUAAAACUAUACUAUACUAAAAUAUCCUAAUCAAAUUCAUCUUAUGUUUUGUUUUUGUAAAAAAAAAUUUUUUAUGACUAAUGUAAAUUUUUAACAGAUCCUAAUUUUAAAAUUGAGAUUUAUAUUUUUAAUAUUUGCUUUUUUAUUCAAAUGUAUUUAUAAUUUUAAAAUGUACUAAUCCAAUUAGAGAUAGUUUAUUAUAACAACUAAUUAUGUAUAGAAAUCAAAAAUACCGCUUUAUUCGUCUGAACCCGUUGAUUUUAAAAUUAAAUGUAAUUUUAAAUAAUUAAUUUAACUGUAAAACAUCUACCUUUGUGAUCUUAACAUUUGUAUAAGUGGUUUAAUGUAUUGAAUUUUUGUAUUUCAGUUAUAAAACUUUAACAUAGAGAUUAGGAAUUUUUAUGGUAUAACUAUAGAAUCAAAUUUAGUUAUAGUAUUUUCUCAGUAAGCACAUCUAUAUACAAUAAUUUGUACUAUUAUUCUCAUUCUUAAGUUCUAUUGAUGAAUAUGACAUUUAGUGAGAUUUUUGUAUCUAGCUGUUAACAAAGUACAAAUUAAUAAUUAAAUCUUAGAUUUUAAUUUAUAUGUUUAUUAU
Molecule: RNA transcript, 2672 nt
Organism: Metopolophium dirhodum (rose-grain aphid)
Lineage: Eukaryota; Metazoa; Arthropoda; Insecta; Hemiptera; Aphididae
Gene name: erbin-like
Exons: 11
Source: RefSeq, a predicted model, not a curated record